GAGCGGCGGACGGGUGAGUAACACGUGGGUAACCUGCCCAAGAGACUGGGAUAACACCUGGAAACAGAUGCUAAUACCGGAUAACAACACUAGACGCAUGUCUAGAGUUUGAAAGAUGGUUCUGCUAUCACUCUUGGAUGGACCUGCGGUGCAUUAGCUAGUUGGUAAGGUAACGGCUUACCAAGGCAAUGAUGCAUAGCCGAGUUGAGAGACUGAUCGGCCACAUUGGGACUGAGACACGGCCCAAACUCCUACGGGAGGCAGCAGUAGGGAAUCUUCCACAAUGGACGAAAGUCUGAUGGAGCAACGCCGCGUGAGUGAAGAAGGGUUUCGGCUCGUAAAGCUCUGUUGGUAGUGAAGAAAGAUAGAGGUAGUAACUGGCCUUUAUUUGACGGUAAUUACUUAGAAAGUCACGGCUAACUACGUGCCAGCAGCCGCGGUAAUACGUAGGUGGCAAGCGUUGUCCGGAUUUAUUGGGCGUAAAGCGAGUGCAGGCGGUUCAAUAAGUCUGAUGUGAAAGCCUUCGGCUCAACCGGAGAAUUGCAUCAGAAACUGUUGAACUUGAGUGCAGAAGAGGAGAGUGGAACUCCAUGUGUAGCGGUGGAAUGCGUAGAUAUAUGGAAGAACACCAGUGGCGAAGGCGGCUCUCUGGUCUGCAACUGACGCUGAGGCUCGAAAGCAUGGGUAGCGAACAGGAUUAGAUACCCUGGUAGCCCAUGCC
Molecule: ribosomal RNA, 721 nt
Filed under: uncultured bacterium
Lineage: Bacteria
Description: bacterial SSU rRNA
Rfam family: Bacterial small subunit ribosomal RNA
Source: RNAcentral